GACGAACGCUGGCGGCGUGCUUAACACAUGCAAGUCGAACGGAAAGGCCCUGCUUUUGUUGGGUGCUCGAGUGGCGAACGGGUGAGUAACACGUGAGUAACCUGCCCUUGACUUUGGGAUAACUUCAGGAAACUGGGGCUAAUACCGGAUAGGAGCUCCUGCUGCAUGGUGGGGGUUGGAAAGUUUCGGCGGUUUGGGAUGGAUUCGCGGCUUAUCAGCUUGUUGGUGGGGUAGUGGCGUACCAAGGCUUUGACGGGUAGCCGGCCUGAGAGGGUGACCGGGCACAAUGGGCCUGAGAGACGGCCCAGACUGCUACGGGACGCAGCAGUGGGGAAUAUUGCAGAAUGGGCGGAAGUCUGAUGUAGCAACGUCGCGUGCGGGAUGACGGCCUUCGGGUUGUAAACCGCUUUCGCCUGUGACGAAGCGGGAGUGACGGUAAUGGGUAAAGAAGCACCGGCUAACUACGUG
RNAcentral lists this ribosomal RNA (468 nucleotides) under uncultured bacterium. RNAcentral describes it as "partial 16S ribosomal RNA". It matches the Rfam family "Bacterial small subunit ribosomal RNA", at positions 28 to 507 of the family's 1533-position model. The record is from RNAcentral.